UGAGAAAUGCCUAGACUUCAGAAGCAGAAAU
This 31-nucleotide non-coding RNA is filed under the name Mus musculus (house mouse). The record is from RNAcentral. Lineage: Eukaryota; Metazoa; Chordata; Mammalia; Rodentia; Muridae.